UUGAACGCUGGCGGCAGGCCUAACACAUGCAAGUCGAGCGGAUGAAGGGAGCUUACUCCUGGAUUCAGCGGCGGACGGGUGAGUAAUGCCUAGGAAUCUGCCUGGUAGUGGGGGAUAACGUCCGGAAACGGGCGCUAAUACCGCAUACGUCCUGAGGGAGAAAGUGGGGGAUCUUCGGACCUCACGCUAUCAGAUGAGCCUAGGUCGGAUUAGCUAGUUGGUGGGGUAAAGGCCUACCAAGGCGACGAUCCGUAACUGGUCUGAGAGGAUGAUCAGUCACACUGGAACUGAGACACGGUCCAGACUCCUACGGGAGGCAGCAGUGGGGAAUAUUGGACAAUGGGCGAAAGCCUGAUCCAGCCAUGCCGCGUGUGUGAAGAAGGUCUUCGGAUUGUAAAGCACUUUAAGUUGGGAGGAAGGGCAGUAAGUUAAUACCUUGCUGUUUUGACGUUACCAACAGAAUAAGCACCGGCUAACUUCGUG
RNAcentral lists this ribosomal RNA (483 nucleotides) under uncultured bacterium. RNAcentral's name for it is "partial 16S ribosomal RNA". It matches the Rfam family "Bacterial small subunit ribosomal RNA", at positions 30 to 507 of the family's 1533-position model. The record is from RNAcentral.